UUCUUUCCUCUUUUAUAGUGCAUCCAAAAUUACAAUAGAUGCAUGGAGAAGACUAUACCUCAGGCAUCUAAUCAAAAAGAACAAAUGGCAGAAAUCUGCAAAAUUCCAGAACUUUUGGAAAAGACAUACGACUGUAUCAUAGUUGAAUCAGAAGCAAGUGAGCUAACCGAAGAAGAAAUGGAAAGCUUGACGGCAUACGUCGACUGUACCCAAGUUGUGUACAAGAAUCAUUACAAAGAAUAAUUAUAUAUUAUAACAUCAAGCAAGCUUUCUUUCCAAGAGCAGCAUACCUUGAUUUUAAUGCAGAGUAUUUGUAGUUUAAUUCUGAAAUGUUAAUAAAAUAUAUUUUAAGAAGCAUGUGUCUUCUUAUUUUAUGCUUACAAAAUACACUACUUUGUGAAAUUUUUAGAAUUAUAUAAAUAAUGUAUGUCACUUAAAUGUGAUGACAGAAAUUUAUAGAUUAAAUUUUAAAUUCGCUAUAACACUAUUUUCAUCUGAACAACGACUGAGGGUUUAGAACCUCGAAACACAGAGUUCACGUAAUGCUAUAUUCCCGACGGAACAAGGAACUCAGUCGGGAAUGCUAUAUUCCCGACUGAGAUUUUCAAAUUUUUUCUCGUGUGUUAAGUGAAUUCAGGAUAGUUUUCUCUACAAGGUUCUCCACAGAUGCAUAAUCCUCCAUAGACAGAUUAAUUUGGAGUGCUUUGGCCUAGUCAAAUAACCAAAUCUGGUAAAACCUUUUGGAAUACAUUGUGUGUAAUUUCUCCGCUAGAUAGCUGUUAUAUAAAACAAAAACAGCUCUUACAGAACAAAGAAUAAAAAUCUAGAAAUGUAGUCUAUAUUCGUGGAGAAAUUCAUUUUUAAAUAUCCCCGAACAGUCAUUGGAUUUUUAAAAUCAUACGUAAUUUAAUACUUCAGUGCUUGAAUUCAUUAUUUCUCACCCUCUUGAUUUCGGUUCUUUAGCUAAGCUAAUGUUGAAUGAUUGGUAGCCAAAUUAUGCUUUCUACUCAUGUUUCUCAUGCUAUAAAAUAUGCUUUGUUUAUCAUAUUGUUACACUGUGUACCAUAUUUAAAUACAGUUUUUACCGAACCGUAAUUCAUUAAUUAACAUUUCUAUUUAAAUAUGCCUUUCCUACCAUUUUUGUGCAUAACAGUGUAAUUAAAAGCAAAUAAUUUCCUACCUUCGAGUAAUUUUUUUAGAAUACUCCAGAAAAAAAGUCAUCUUUAAAAAUAACUGAUAUCCAUUUUUGGUCACUCCUUUUCAGGGAACGCAAAUCAUACAAAGCAACAACUGGAGUUUAUAUGGUACUUUAGAAAUAUUUGUAACAUCUGAGAUUAUGUGUUUUAGUUUUCAAAAAGUAUAUGGUUUUUAUCUUCAUUUCAAAUAUUUCCUUUUUAGAGCUCUAAAUUAACCUAAAUAUCCUAAGUUUAGUAAGAUAUUCUAAUUCUGAGAAAUUUGUGCUAAUUAACAUCAACAAGCACAUUUUUCUAGUAUCAUGUCCCUUCAUUAAUUCUUUUUAUAAAAGUGAGUUAAAUUAAUUGACGCCAGAUUUUCUUCUAAAUCUUUUGUGUCAAAUUUCGAUUUAUAUGAAAAUAAUCAGUAUUAUAAAAGUUUGCUGAUCUAGUAUUUUUCCACAACAUUUGCUGCUGAAUUUUUAACCACUAUUGACACCUAA
RNAcentral lists this long non-coding RNA (1675 nucleotides) under Stegodyphus dumicola. Its description in RNAcentral is "uncharacterized LOC118203933". Lineage: Eukaryota; Metazoa; Arthropoda; Arachnida; Araneae; Eresidae. The record is from RNAcentral.